This 555-nucleotide ribosomal RNA is filed under the name Salmonella enterica subsp. enterica serovar Typhimurium. Its description in RNAcentral is "partial 23S ribosomal RNA". It matches the Rfam family "Bacterial large subunit ribosomal RNA", at positions 1079 to 1552 of the family's 2925-position model. Lineage: Bacteria; Pseudomonadati; Pseudomonadota; Gammaproteobacteria; Enterobacterales; Enterobacteriaceae. The record is from RNAcentral.
GAAGGCCCAGACAGCCAGGAUGUUGGCUUAGAAGCAGCCAUCAUUUAAAGAAAGCGUAAUAGCUCACUGGUCGAGUCGGCCUGCGCGGAAGAUGUAACGGGGCUAAACCAUGCACCGAAGCUGCGGCAGCGAACGUAUCACCCAAGACAACUUUACGGAGUUGACGAUUGACGGAGCGAAGCGACGUCAAAGCGUUCAUUAAAGUCGAGUUGGCUUAGGGAUACGUUCGUUGGGUAGGGGAGCGUUCUGUAAGCCUGUGAAGGUGUGUCGUGAGGCAUGCUGGAGGUAUCAGAAGUGCGAAUGCUGACAUAAGUAACGAUAAAGCGGGUGAAAAGCCCGCUCGCCGGAAGACCAAGGGUUCCUGUCCAACGUUAAUCGGGGCAGGGUGAGUCGACCCCUAAGGCGAGGCCGAAAGGCGUAGUCGAUGGGAAACGGGUUAAUAUUCCCGUACUUGGUGUUACUGCGAAGGGGGGACGGAGAAGGCUAUGUUGGCCGGGCGACGGUUGUCCCGGUUUAAGCGUGUAGGUGUGUGUUCCAGGUAAAUCCGGUUCACUU